RNAcentral lists this unclassified non-coding RNA (391 nucleotides) under soil metagenome. Its description in RNAcentral is "partial contains 5.8S ribosomal RNA, internal transcribed spacer 2, and large subunit ribosomal RNA". The stretch from base 1 to 122 matches the Rfam family "5.8S ribosomal RNA", at positions 35 to 154 of the family's 154-position model. The record is from RNAcentral.
GAUGAAGAACGUAGCGAAACGCGAUAGUUAAUGUGAAUUGCAGAAUUCAGUGAACCAUCGAGUCUUUGAACGCAAGUUGCGCCCGAAGCCAUUAGGCCGAGGGCACGCCUGCCUGGGCGUCACACGUCGUUGCCCCCCCAUCUACUCCUUCGGGAUUGCGGGGGGCGGAUGAUGGCCUCUCGUGCGCCUCGUCGCGCGGUUGGCCUAAAUGCCAAGUCCUCGGCGACGCACGCCACGACAAUCGGUGGUUGCGAAACCUCGGUUGCCUGUCGUGUGCGGUCGUCGCGCAUCGAGGGCUCGAAAAAAUUGCCGGGCUUCGGCUCGACUUUCAACGCGACCCCAGGUCAGGCGGGGUUACCCGCUGAAUUUAAGCAUAUCAAUAAGCGGAGGA